AUCUCCAGAAUGGGUGGAACAUAUUAAUGAUACUGAAAGAGAUAUUGGCAGUGAAUUCCAUUGGCCAUGUAUAGCUGCAGGCAAGCCUAUUCCGACAAUCCGGUGGCUGAGAAAUGGAUUACCGUAUUGGAAAGGAGAAUUGAGAUUUUCUAGCCUGAACCUUGAAGAUUCAGGCAUGUAUCAAUGUGUAGCGGAAAAUAUACAUGGAAUGAUUUAUUCAAAUGCUGAAUUAAAAGUUAUUGUGUUGCCUCCAACCUUUGAAUUCUACCCAAUGAAGAAAGAGGUUUUGGCUGCAAAAGGAGGGCAGGCUAUAAUUGAGUGCAAGCCUAGAGCAGCUCCUAAACCAAAAAUUACCUGGAGUAGAGGGACAGAAAUUCUUAAAAACUCAACU
This is a non-coding RNA of Thamnophis sirtalis, 391 nucleotides long. Lineage: Eukaryota; Metazoa; Chordata; Lepidosauria; Squamata; Natricidae. The record is from RefSeq and is a predicted model, not a curated record.